GUUGUGUUCAUGUGGCACCAUAAAAUUGAAUGAUACCGAAAAGUUUAGUGUGGCCCCUGUGCAAAGAUGACAUGUAAAUUUGUGAAGUAUUAUUUUU
Molecule: non-coding RNA, 97 nt
Organism: Dipodomys ordii (Ord's kangaroo rat)
Lineage: Eukaryota; Metazoa; Chordata; Mammalia; Rodentia; Heteromyidae
Source: Rfam